Non-coding RNA from Arachis ipaensis, 235 nucleotides. The record is from RefSeq and is a predicted model, not a curated record. NCBI's taxonomy places the organism in Eukaryota, Viridiplantae, Streptophyta, Magnoliopsida, Fabales, Fabaceae.
UCAAGAGUCAGCCAGUGAGCCGGCUGAUUCGAAUAUAAUGGUUGUGAGGGAAGAGACACCGUCGGAAGCGCUUGCAAUAGUUCCGAUUCAAGUUUUCGUGCCAGUGUCCCAAACAACCACUGUGCCGGAAUUUGAAGAAACACCUGAGACAGAUUUUGAACCAACCCCUCUGCUACAAAUUGAAGGAACUACAAAAACCACUCCUGAACCCCCACAACAACUUGAAGAAAGCACA